RNAcentral lists this ribosomal RNA (497 nucleotides) under uncultured bacterium. RNAcentral describes it as "partial 16S ribosomal RNA". It matches the Rfam family "Bacterial small subunit ribosomal RNA", at positions 28 to 507 of the family's 1533-position model. The record is from RNAcentral.
GAUGAACGCUGGCGGCGUGCCUAAUACAUGCAAGUCGAGCGAAUAGACGAGGAGCUUGCUCCUCUGACGUUAGCGGCGGACGGGUGAGUAACACGUGGAUAACCUACCUAUAAGACUGGGAUAACUUCGGGAAACCGGAGCUAAUACCGGAUAAUAUAUUGAACCGCAUGGUUCAAUAGUGAAAGACGGUUUUGCUGUCACUUAUAGAUGGAUCCGCGCCGCAUUAGCUAGUUGGUAAGGUAACGGCUUACCAAGGCAACGAUGCGUAGCCGACCUGAGAGGGUGGUCGGCCACACUGGAACUGAGACACGGUCCAGACUCCUACGGGAGGCAGCAGUAGGGAAUCUUCCGCAAUGGGCGAAAGCUUGACGGAGCAACGCCGCGUGAGUGAUGAAGGUCUUCGGAUCGUAAAACUCUGUUAUUAGGGAAGAACAAAUGUGUAAGUAACUAUGCACGUCUUGACGGUACCUAAUCAGAAAGCCACGGCUAACUACGUG